RNAcentral lists this ribosomal RNA (909 nucleotides) under Alistipes sp. Its description in RNAcentral is "bacterial SSU rRNA". It matches the Rfam family "Bacterial small subunit ribosomal RNA", at positions 1 to 901 of the family's 1533-position model. The record is from RNAcentral. Lineage: Bacteria; Pseudomonadati; Bacteroidota; Bacteroidia; Bacteroidales; Rikenellaceae.
ACAAUGGAGAGUUUGAUCCUUGCUCAGGAUGAAGGCUAGCGGCAGGCUUAACACAUGCAAGUCGAGGGGCAGCGUGAUGAAGUAGCAAUACGGAUUUGACGGCGACCGGCGCACGGGUGCGUAACGCGUAUGUAACCUACCUUUAACAGGGGGAUAACACUGAGAAAUUGGUACUAAUACCCCAUAAUACCAUAGGAGGCAUCUCUUGUGGUUGAAAGUUCCGGCGGUUAAAGAUGGACAUGCGUUGUAUUAGCUAGAUGGUGAGGUAACGGCUCACCAUGGCGACGAUACAUAGGGGGACUGAGAGGUUAACCCCCCACACUGGUACUGAGACACGGACCAAACUCCUACGGGAGGCAGCAGUGAGGAAUAUUGGUCAAUGGACGCAAGUCUGAACCAGCCAUGCCGCGUGCAGGAAGACGGCUCUAUGAGUUGUAAACUGCUUUUGUACAAGGGUAAACCCUGGGACGUGUCCCAGGCUGAAAGUACUGUACGAAUAAGGAUCGGCUAACUCCGUGCCAGCAGCCGCGGUAAUACGGAGGAUCCAAGCGUUAUCCGGAUUUAUUGGGUUUAAAGGGUGCGUAGGCGGAUUAGUAAGUUAGAGGUGAAAGCUCGGGGCUCAACUCCGGAACUGCCUCUGAUACUGCUGAUCUAGAGAGUAGAUGCGGUAGGCGGAAUGUAUGGUGUAGCGGUGAAAUGCUUAGAGAUCAUACAGAACACCGAUUGCGAAGGCAGCUCACAAAACUAUAUCUGACGUUGAGGCACGAAAGCGUGGGUAGCAAACAGGAUUAUAUACCCUGGUAGUCCACGCAGUAAACGAUGAUAGCUCGUUGUCGGCGAUACACAGUCGGUGACUUAGAGAAAUCGAUAAGCUAUCCACCUGGGGAGUACGUUCUCAAGCAUGAAACU